Long non-coding RNA from Haliotis rubra (blacklip abalone), 357 nucleotides. RefSeq lists it as uncharacterized. Lineage: Eukaryota; Metazoa; Mollusca; Gastropoda; Lepetellida; Haliotidae. The transcript is spliced from 3 exons. The record is from RefSeq and is a predicted model, not a curated record.
CGCCGAUCACACCUACUGACUUGGGCCUAUUGAACACGUCCGGGGACAUAUCGGAACCUUCUGACAGACAUACAGCUACGCCUCUGUUUGAUGACCACGGACAGAUGCCUUCAGUGUGUAAUGGAGGAGAUCCUAUGCCGGUGUCACCCGUAUGUACAGUUAAACCAAUGCAGGUGCUUCUCGAGCCAGCUUCGGACGUUCCAGCGACUUCCCCUGCAAACACCCAUCAUCGGCGUCGGCGAGGAACACUACCUCAGAUUGUCUUAGCACGACGUCGACAUGAGGGCAUCAAUCACCUGCUGCAUCUGGUGGUGAGCAUCCUCUUCUGUCCUUGGCUCAUCUUCUGGGUGGUCUUGU